Molecule: ribosomal RNA, 604 nt
Filed under: Hanseniaspora opuntiae
Lineage: Eukaryota; Fungi; Ascomycota; Saccharomycetes; Saccharomycodales; Saccharomycodaceae
Description: partial large subunit ribosomal RNA
Rfam family: Eukaryotic large subunit ribosomal RNA
Source: RNAcentral
GCCAUUUCCAAAAGCGGAGGAAAAGAAACCAACUGGGAUUACCUUAGUAACGGCGAGUGAAGCGGUAAAAGCUCAAAUUUGAAAUCUGGUACUUUCAGUGCCCGAGUUGUAAUUUGUAGAAUUUGUCUUUGAUUAGGUCCUUGUCUAUGUUCCUUGGAACAGGACGUCAUAGAGGGUGAGAAUCCCGUUUGGCGAGGAUACCUUUUCUCUGUAAGACUUUUUCGAAGAGUCGAGUUGUUUGGGAAUGCAGCUCAAAGUGGGUGGUAAAUUCCAUCUAAAGCUAAAUAUUGGCGAGAGACCGAUAGCGAACAAGUACAGUGAUGGAAAGAUGAAAAGAACUUUGAAAAGAGAGUGAAAAAGUACGUGAAAUUGUUGAAAGGGAAGGGCAUUUGAUCAGACAUGGUGUUUUUUGCAUGCACUCGCCUCUCGUGGGCUUGGGCCUCUCAAAAAUUUCACUGGGCCAACAUCAAUUCUGGCAGUAGGAUAAAUCAUUAAGAAUGUAGCUACCUCGGUAGUGUUAUAGCUUAUUGGAAUACUGCUAGCUGGGAUUGAGGACUGCGCUUCGGCAAGGAUGUUGGCAUAAUGGUUAAAUGCCGCCCGCUGA